Molecule: ribosomal RNA, 506 nt
Filed under: uncultured bacterium
Lineage: Bacteria
Description: partial 16S ribosomal RNA
Rfam family: Bacterial small subunit ribosomal RNA
Source: RNAcentral
GAUGAGCGCUAGCUACAGGCUUAACACAUGCAAGUCGCGGGGUAACAUUGCUCUAGCUUGCUAGAUCAGAUGAAGACCGGCGCACGGGAGAGUAACGCGUAUCCAACAUGCCUUUUACCACGGGAUAGCCCCUCGAAAGAGGGAGUACUACCGUAUGGGGUCACGAGCAGUCAUCUAAUCUUGACGAAAGGUAGAGCGGUAAAAGAUGGGGAUGCGUCUGAUUAGGCAGGUGGCGGAGUAACGGCGCACCAAACCGACGAUCCGGAGGGGUUAUGAGAGGAAGGUCCCCCACAUUGGAACUGAGACACGGUCCAAACUCCUACGGGAGGGAGCAGUGAGGAAUAUUGGUCAAUGGUCGCAAGACUGACCCAGCCAAGUAGCGUGAGGGAAGACUGCCCUAUGGGUUGUAAACCGCUUGUAUCUGGGAAUAAAGUGAGCCACGUGUGGCUUAUUGCAGGUACCAGAAGAAGAAGGACCGGCUAAUUCCGUGCCAGCCGCCGCGGUAA